AUAUUCUCCGAUGAAGGACUUGUGGACAAGGGAAAACAUCCGGUGCUUGAUAAUUUAAGAGAACUUAAGUUGAGUAAGCUACCCAACCUAAAGCGUGUCUGUGGAGAAGACUAUUUAAUCACUAAAAUUCUUCAAAGCAUCGACAAAUUUGAGGUUUGCAAUUGUCCUGGUUUGACAACAUUAUUUCCGGCCAUGGCAUAUUUUCGGAAUUUGAUGGAGUUAGUGGUGAAGAGUUCCUCUGGAUUGGUAUAUCUAGGAACAGUUUCAGCGGUCACAAAUUUGGUGCAUCUCACCAAGAUGACUAUAAUAGGAUGUGAUAGAAUGAAAGAAGUAGUGGCAAACAAUGAAAACGAAGAAAGAAAAGCGAUUUCUCUUGAGAAGCUAGAAGGUUUGACUCUCCAAAAUCUGCCCAGCCUAGAAUGCUUCUCCUCCGCCGCAAGUUGUAGCUUCAGGUUUCCAUCCUUGUUGUGGAUUGAAGUGGAAGAGUGUCCGAAAAUGAAGAUCUUUUCUAAGGGUAGGCUAAGCAUGCCAAAGCUAAAUUGGGGGACACUGUUUAGAUAUGACAUGGAUGAGAAUUGGGAGGGUGAUCUUAAUACAACCAUACAAAAGUUAUCAGCAUAAACAAUGCACAUAAAAUUGUCCCUGCCAAGUGGAAGGGCAGAUGCUACUGGUGGCAUAGAGAUUUGGAAGUUACUGAGGCACAAAGGUUGAGAUGAGGAAGAUUUUUAUGGAGGCUGUCCAAACUGAUGAAGGAGCAAAGCUUCAGCGACAAGAUUGGGAAGGUAGCAUGGAAAAUUCCAAAUGCGAGGUGAGCCCCGGCAUGGUGGCUCCUGGUAGCUCUACUUCUUAAUGUUCGCGGGCAACUACAUCUCUCGAACCAGCCAGCAAGUCCAAGCUGCAGAAUCAUUUCUUCUUAGUAGUCAACCGGUCACAUAACCUAUUGAAGCAAAAUGUGAAUAUCCGAGGUGCUUUUUUUAAGGGACGCAUCAAUGGAAGCAUGCAAACCGUAACUCUUAAGCAUUUGGACGGAUCAUGGCCAGUGAAGCUCCUGUACUUCCCACAACAUGGCUCGGGUAAGCUCUCUGCCGGUUGGGGCGCGUUUCAGAAAGGAACUUCUCUAAAGGAAGGAGAUGUCUGUGUGUUCGAGCUUGUUAGAAAUGAUGAUAUUGAAUUCAAAGUCUCCAUUUUCAGAAGGAAUGUCGAGACUUAGGCGUAAACUUUGGUAUGCCAUCAGAAAAAUCU
Rhodamnia argentea is the source of this 1242-nucleotide long non-coding RNA. RefSeq lists it as uncharacterized. Lineage: Eukaryota; Viridiplantae; Streptophyta; Magnoliopsida; Myrtales; Myrtaceae. The transcript is spliced from 5 exons. The record is from RefSeq and is a predicted model, not a curated record.